RNAcentral lists this ribosomal RNA (468 nucleotides) under uncultured bacterium. RNAcentral describes it as "partial 16S ribosomal RNA". It matches the Rfam family "Bacterial small subunit ribosomal RNA", at positions 28 to 507 of the family's 1533-position model. The record is from RNAcentral.
GACGAACGCUGGCGGCGCGCCUAACACAUGCAAGUCGAACGGAGCUGCGAGAAGCUUGCUCUUCUUAGCUUAGCGGCGGACGGGUGAGUAACGCGUGCGUCACCUGCCCUGGUGUGGGGGACAAUAGUUGGAAACAACUUCUAAUACCGCAUAAUUCCACGAUCCGGCAUCGGCUUGAGGGAAUAGGAUUUUUUCUGUUGAGGAUGGACUCGCAUCCAUUAAGCUAGUUGGUGGGGUAACGGCCAACCAAGGCAACGAUUGGUAGCCGGGAUGAGAGGUAGGGCCGCCACACUGGGACUGGGACACGGCCCAGACUACUACGGGAGGCAGCAGUGGGGGAUAUAGCACAAUGGGGGAAACCCUGAUGCAGCUACGCCGCGUGAAGGAAGAAGGUGUUAGGAUUGUAAACUCCUGUCAUUAGGGACGAUAAUGACGGUACCUAACAAAUAAGCACCGGCUAACUACGUG